AUCGCUUCUCGGCCUUUUGGCUAAGAUCAAGUGUAGUAUCUGUUCUUAUCAGUUUAAAAUCAUGCUCAACAUGAAGCCUUAUGAUGUGCAGUUUAAAAAGAGAAAUGAGUCCAA
Molecule: small nuclear RNA, 114 nt
Filed under: Chlorocebus sabaeus (green monkey)
Lineage: Eukaryota; Metazoa; Chordata; Mammalia; Primates; Cercopithecidae
Description: U2 spliceosomal RNA
Rfam family: U2 spliceosomal RNA
About the family: U2 is a small nuclear RNA (snRNA) component of the spliceosome (involved in pre-mRNA splicing). Complementary binding between U2 snRNA (in an area lying towards the 5' end but 3' to hairpin I) and the branchpoint sequence (BPS) of the intron results the bulging out of an unpaired adenosine, on the BPS, which initiates a nucleophilic attack at the intronic 5' splice site, thus starting the first of two transesterification reactions that mediate splicing.
Source: Rfam by way of RNAcentral